Puntigrus tetrazona (Sumatra barb) is the source of this 360-nucleotide non-coding RNA. Lineage: Eukaryota; Metazoa; Chordata; Actinopteri; Cypriniformes; Cyprinidae. The record is from the annotation of a RefSeq genome assembly.
AUGCAGGAUAAAUCUUUUGGCCAGUCAAUAGAACCGUUGCAGACCACAGAACGCGCCACUGAGAGAGAGACAGCCAUUAUGUCGUGCAAAUAUGACAGCCAAGCACGGAGUUUACACUGGUAUCGACAAUACCCUGGAUCAAGACCUGAAUUUCUGAUUCUCGUUUAUGAAUCAAAUAGUGUAGUUCAUGCAGAACCCCCUUUCCCAAGACUGAAUGCAAGAGUGAAUAAGGUGGAGAAGCAGGUCCAUCUGGAGAUCUCCUCUGCUGCUGUAUCAGACUCUGCUCUGUAUUACUGUGCUCUGGAGCCCACAGUGACAGGAAACACAUCAACACUGUACAAAAACCUCUAUGAUAAAUAA